UACGGGGGGGGCAAGCGUUGUUCGGAAUUACUGGGCGUAAAGGGCUCGUAGGUGGCCAACUAAGUCAGACGUGAAAUCCCUCGGCUUAACCGGGGAACUGCAUCUGAUACUGGAUGGCUUGAGAUUGGGAGAGGGAUGCGGAAUUCCAGGUGUAGCGGUGAAAUGCGUAGAUAUCUGGAGGAACACCGGUGGCGAAGGCGGCAUCCUGGACCAACACUGACGCUGAGGAGCGAAAGCCAGGGGAGCAAACGGG
This 253-nucleotide ribosomal RNA is filed under the name uncultured bacterium. Its description in RNAcentral is "partial 16S ribosomal RNA". It matches the Rfam family "Bacterial small subunit ribosomal RNA", at positions 524 to 776 of the family's 1533-position model. The record is from RNAcentral.